RNAcentral lists this ribosomal RNA (479 nucleotides) under uncultured bacterium. Its description in RNAcentral is "partial 16S ribosomal RNA". It matches the Rfam family "Bacterial small subunit ribosomal RNA", at positions 28 to 523 of the family's 1533-position model. The record is from RNAcentral.
GACGAACGCUGGCGGCGUGCUUAACACAUGCAAGUCGAACGAUGAACCACUUCGGUGGGGAUUAGUGGCGAACGGGUGAGUAACACGUGGGCAAUCUGCCCUUCACUCUGGGACAAGCCCUGGAAACGGGGGCUAAUACCGGAUCUGAGCCUGGGAGGCAUCCCCUGGGUUGUAAAGCUCCGGCGGUGAAGGAUGAGCCCGCGGCCUAUCAGCUUGUUGGUGAGGUAAUGGCUCACCAAGGCGACGACGGGUAGCCGGCCUGAUGAGGGCGACCGGCCACACUGGGACUGAGACACGGCCCAGACUCCUACGGGAGGCAGCAGUGGGGAAUAUUGCACAAUGGGCGAAAGCCUGAUGCAGCGACGCCGCGUGAGGGAUGACGGCCUUCGGGUUGUAAACCUCUUUCAGCAGGGAAGAAGCGAGAGUGACGGUACCUGCAGAAGAAGCGCCGGCUAACUACGUGCCAGCCGCCGCGGUAA